CUGGUGGCGAGUGGCGAACGGGUGAGGAAUACAUCGGAACGUGUCUAUAAGUGGGGGAUAACGCAUCGAAAGGUGUGCUAAUACCGCAUAAUCUCUCAGGAGAAAAGCAGGGGAUCGCAAGACCUUGCGCUUUAGGAGCGGCCGAUGCCUGAUUAGCUAGUUGGUAAGGUAAAAGCUUACCAAGGCUUCGAUCAGUAGCUGGUCUGAGAGGACGACCAGCCACACUGGGACUGAGACACGGCCCAGACUCC
RNAcentral lists this ribosomal RNA (251 nucleotides) under uncultured Nitrosomonadaceae bacterium. Its description in RNAcentral is "partial 16S ribosomal RNA". It matches the Rfam family "Bacterial small subunit ribosomal RNA", at positions 85 to 339 of the family's 1533-position model. The record is from RNAcentral. Lineage: Bacteria; Pseudomonadati; Pseudomonadota; Betaproteobacteria; Nitrosomonadales; Nitrosomonadaceae.